GUCACAGUGGACGAGACGGCGAUAAACACAAUAAUAGGACGUUGACCAAGAUGUUUAGAUUGGAGAGUGAUCAAGAGGGUGUAUAAUAUAAAUUCUAAUUUUCUGGAGUAUCUUCGACCAAGUUUCCACUGGUGUUUCUACUGAUUCUGGUUCCUUCGGAACAUCCUUCUUCUUAAACAAAAAGGCAUCAAGUUUCUUCAUAGCAAAUUUUUUUGGUUGGGGCUCUUCCUGUUUCCCUAAAGCUCCGCGUUUCUUGCCCGCAGAUCAGCCAAUUUCAUCCCAGGAAAUUCUGCCUGUAGGUUGGACUUGUUAUUUUCAAACCAUUUUUUGAAUCCAUCUACAGCGCUUCCAUUCUCUUUUGCUUUGGCUUCCUCUACAACUUUAGGACUUUCCAGAGCAACACUGUUUGUAUCUAGUGAGGUUCGAGAUUGCUCUGAAAAAUCAGACAUAUGCUUCGAACUGACAUCGGAAGAAUCCAUUUGCAAGCUGUCUGGGGUGGCCGAGCGAGAAAACUGGACAAAAAAAAUCAAGUGUUAAUAAAAUAUAAGCUAAGUAAGACCAAAAGGCUUAAUUUACUUCUGCAUCUUCUUCAAUGAAUGAGUUUUUGCUCAGCAAAGUCUCGCUCAGAGGUGGUUUAGGUGCAUUUUUCUUGAAAGGGUUGCCUCCGUUUUGAGUCGGAGUGCUGAACAUCUCAAAACUUCUCUGCGAAGACAAAGCUCGUUUCAAUUUGCUCACUGAAAUUUGAAAUAAGUAACAAUGCAAAGUUUUUCCUAGUAAAAUACUUUUCAUUGGUUCGAUGGUCUCUUUGCCACUACCAAAUGAUUCAGUGCUGUUAAUCCUACUGAGGAUUUUGUACCUUGGCUCAAUUUCUUGUGAUUCCUCAACUCUAUAAACCAGAGAAAUUAAAAUUAGUAUAAAAAUUAUUUAUUUAAUGUUUACAUUUCAGGCUCUUCCUCUGAUUCCGGUUGAUCCACAAAGUCUUCUAGUCUCUCAAGUAAUCUACUUUUGUUUUUGCUGUGGGCAUAUUGCCUGGCUUUGACUCUCCACUCUGCAGCCGUCAUCAAUUUGUAAAUGUCAUAAGCUCUGGUAUCCAUAUCAGCAAUACAAGCCAUCUGAAUUGGAAAAAAAUUAUUAUUUAAAAUGGAAUAAAACCUAAAAAAUCAACAUACAGCAAAUAUUUUGAGCAAAGUGGUGUUGAAAGACUUGACGUUGCUGAGAACAGCAUAGUCGUCGUCCUUUGGCAUUCCUGUGCUGGGAUCAAUACAUUUUGAUGAGUAAGCUGCCCUUUUGGUCCGAACAUAGUCUUCCUCGAGUUUGCCUUUGGCCGAAUCACUGUC
Molecule: long non-coding RNA, 1337 nt
Organism: Neocloeon triangulifer
Lineage: Eukaryota; Metazoa; Arthropoda; Insecta; Ephemeroptera; Baetidae
Exons: 4
Source: RefSeq, a predicted model, not a curated record